This 425-nucleotide ribosomal RNA is filed under the name uncultured bacterium. RNAcentral's name for it is "partial 16S ribosomal RNA". It matches the Rfam family "Bacterial small subunit ribosomal RNA", at positions 354 to 796 of the family's 1533-position model. The record is from RNAcentral.
GUGGGGAAUAUUGGACAAUGGGCGAAAGUCUGAUCCAGCAAUGCCGCGUGAGUGAAGAAGGCCUUCGGGUUGUAAAGCUCUUUUACCCGGGAAGAUAAUGACUGUACCGGGAGAAUAAGCCCCGGCUAACUCCGUGCCAGCAGCCGCGGUAAUACGGAGGGGGCUAGCGUUGUUCGGAAUUACUGGGCGUAAAGCGCACGUAGGCGGUCUUUUAAGUCAGAGGUGAAAGCCCGGGGCUCAACUCCGGAAUUGCCUUUGAAACUGGAAGACUUGAACACGGUAGAGGUGAGUGGAAUUCCGAGUGUAGAGGUGAAAUUCGUAGAUAUUCGGAGGAACACCAGUGGCGAAGGCGGCUCACUGGACCGUUGUUGACGCUGAGGUGCGAAAGCGUGGGGAGCAAACAGGAUUAGAAACCCGAGUAGUCC